This 415-nucleotide ribosomal RNA is filed under the name Paracoccidioides brasiliensis. Its description in RNAcentral is "SSU rRNA". It matches the Rfam family "Bacterial small subunit ribosomal RNA", at positions 411 to 865 of the family's 1533-position model. The record is from RNAcentral. Lineage: Eukaryota; Fungi; Ascomycota; Eurotiomycetes; Onygenales; Ajellomycetaceae.
AUUAUAGUAAUACAGUAACGAUUAACUCGUAUAAAAUUCUAAAUAGGAUAAUGAUAAUGACAAUUUCCUAUUUAUAAGUCUUGACCAAAUUACGUGCCAGCAGUCGCGGUAAUACGUAGAAGACUAGUGUUAGUCAUCUUUAUUAGGUUUAAAGGGUACCUAGACGGUAAAUUAAACUCUAAAUGAGUACUUUUUUACUAGAGUUUUAUGUGAGAAGGAAGAAUUUCUGGAGUAGUGAUGAAAUACCUUGAUACCAGAAGGACUGGUAACGGCGAAGGCAUCCUUCUAUGUAAAAACUGACGUUGAGGGACGAAGGCUUGGGUAGCAAUAAGGAUUAGAUACCCUAGUAGUCCAAGCAGAAAAUGAUGAAUGUCAUAGGCUAGAUAAUAUUUAGUCUAUAAAUGAAAGUGUAAGC